Molecule: ribosomal RNA, 253 nt
Filed under: uncultured bacterium
Lineage: Bacteria
Description: partial 16S ribosomal RNA
Rfam family: Bacterial small subunit ribosomal RNA
Source: RNAcentral
UACGGAGGGUGCGAGCGUUGUCCGGAUUUACUGGGCGUAAAGAGCGCGCAGGCGGUCGUUCAAGUCGAGUGUGAAAGCCCCCGGCUCAACUGGGGAGGGUCACUCGAUACUGAUCGACUCGAAGGCAGGAGAGGGAAGUGGAAUUCCCGGUGUAGUGGUGAAAUGCGUAGAUAUCGGGAGGAACACCAGUGGCGAAGGCGACUUUCUGGCCUGUUCUUGACGCUGAGGCGCGAAAGCUAGGGUAGCAAACGGG